GAUGAAGAACGUAGCGAAAUGCGAUAAGUAAUGUGAAUUGCAGAAUUCAGUGAAUCAUCGAAUCUUUGAACGCACAUUGCGCCCCCUGGUAUUCCGGGGGGCAUGCCUGUCCGAGCGUCAUUACAACCCUCAAGCUCAGCUUGGUGUUGGGCCCCGCCGCCCCGGCGGGCCCUAAAGUCAGUGGCGGUGCCGUCCGGCUCCGAGCGUAGUAAUUCUUCUCGCUCUGGAGGUCCGGUCGUGUGCUCGCCAGCAACCCCCAAUUUUUUUCAGGUUGACCUCGGAUCAGGUAGGGAUACCCGCUGAACUUAAGCAUAUAAAAGCGGAGGA
This 327-nucleotide unclassified non-coding RNA is filed under the name soil metagenome. RNAcentral describes it as "partial contains 5.8S ribosomal RNA, internal transcribed spacer 2, and large subunit ribosomal RNA". The stretch from base 1 to 120 matches the Rfam family "5.8S ribosomal RNA", at positions 35 to 154 of the family's 154-position model. The record is from RNAcentral.